Molecule: transfer RNA, 63 nt
Filed under: Ectopseudomonas oleovorans
Lineage: Bacteria; Pseudomonadati; Pseudomonadota; Gammaproteobacteria; Pseudomonadales; Pseudomonadaceae
Also listed under: 1 other name
Description: Pseudomonas oleovorans tRNA-Arg
Rfam family: tRNA
About the family: Transfer RNA (tRNA) molecules are approximately 80 nucleotides in length. Their secondary structure includes four short double-helical elements and three loops (D, anti-codon, and T loops).
Source: RNAcentral
CAUAGCUCAGCUGGAUAGAGUACUCGGCUACGAACCGAGCGGUCGGAGGUUCGAAUCCUCCUG